Molecule: ribosomal RNA, 516 nt
Filed under: Hindola sp. 1 AJB-2014
Lineage: Eukaryota; Metazoa; Arthropoda; Insecta; Hemiptera; Machaerotidae
Description: partial 16S ribosomal RNA
Source: RNAcentral
GUUUUUUAGAAUUUUUUUUAAAAAUUUAAUCUGCCCAAUGAUUUUUAAAUGGCUGCGGUAAAUUGACCGUACAAAGGUAGCAUAGUAAUUAGUCUUUUAAUUGGAGUCUGGAAUGAAUGAUUGGAUGAGAAAAUUACUUUCUUUAAUUUUUUAUUAUUUUAAUUUAAUUUUUGAGUGAGAAAGCUUAAAUUUUUUUUUGGGACGAUAAGACCCUAUAGAUCUUUAUUUUUUAUUUAUUUAUUAAUUUUUGGAUUAUUUAAAUUUUUUUAUAUUUAUAAUUAGUUGGUUGGGGUGACAGUAAAAAUUUACUUAUCUUUUAUUUUUAUUUUCAUUUAUAUAUGAUUUAUUUGAUCCUUUAUUAUUGAUUAAAAGAAAUAGUUACCUUAGGGAUAACAGCGUAAUUUGUUUGUAGAGUUCUUAUCAAUAAAUAAGUUUGCGACCUCGAUGUUGGAUUAAGAUUAGGGGAGGGUGAAGAUUUUCUUUAUUCUAGGUCUGUUCGACCUUUAAAUUCUUACA